AAAACGUGUGUUGACUUCAGUCAUCGAUUUCGCGUAUUUUCAUUGCAAAGAUGCCCAGGAAAAAGAAAGUUUUCAUCGGCAGUCGCAGGAAGGGCUACUCAAAGUGGGGUCCGAGACAACAAGGUGUCAGUUCUUCCUCUCUCUCUGACAUUCUUAUUCAUCAGUUCAAUCAACUGUUCUCGAUGAUUGCAGGUAAGUAAUAAUAGAAUUCAAGAGAUGCACUGUGGGACAAAGCAUGGAAGUCAUUCUUCAUUGACCUCAUCGAUGAACCCACAGAUACCCCAUGCCUGGAAGAAGCGACAGAUUCUGAUGGUUGUUCGGCUGAUGAAUUCUUUGGGUUUAUUUGACACAAUUCACCAGUAUCAUCCGGACAACAAUGUAGAUGAAUUUGUUGAUGGCAUCCUGCGAUACCAGCAAUAUGUAACAUUAAAAAGGGAGCUGUUUCAGCAUGUAGAUGAGCUAGGCAAUUUUAAAAUUGCAAGAAACAAGCGUGAAAACAUUACUAUUGUGCAGUUUUAUGACUGACGUAGGCUCAGUCCGGCUUUCAGUAGUCAUCAAGCCAUCCUUUACAUCAGCAAUAUAUGCACAUCGAUGUGACUUUGGCCCAAAUCAUGAAUUCUGGAUUGGUUUACCUGCAUUUUGAGAUAUGAAGAAACUGUUAUCAAAACUGUCUACAUACCAUGUUUGCGUUGGCAAUUAUGAAGACAGAUUUGCAGAUUUGAUUCCAGUUGGUGCAGGCAUAAGUGAAUGAGCUAUUUCAACAAUAUCUGCCUAAUAAUUUAACAUGUAAUAAAGUACAUGAGUAGAAAUUAUGGAAAUUAAAAUCCAAUAUACAGUUCACUUCAUGGAUAUCUAAAAUAUCUGUUAAUGAAGUUAUAUUAAGAUUGU
RNAcentral lists this unclassified non-coding RNA (888 nucleotides) under Haliotis rubra (blacklip abalone). Its description in RNAcentral is "uncharacterized LOC124268607, transcript variant X1". The record is from RNAcentral. Lineage: Eukaryota; Metazoa; Mollusca; Gastropoda; Lepetellida; Haliotidae.